UACACGUGACCCGCCCUUCAGAGGCCUGCCUACACCCAAAGGAGCUGAUCUCGCGAGACUUAAAAGCGACGGUUAAAGGACCGGGUGGCCGGUGGGAUGAGGAUGUCUUCAUCCGAAAAAUCUUGUUUCCUGUAUGACAAUGCAGCAUCAGUCCAAGAGAGCCUGGAUUACAUCAUUCCGUGGGCUGUGGGCACCAUGCCUGUGCUCCUGUCAGAAGCUGCUGUGGUCCUGAAACGCUGCACAAGGAGAAUUUGUGCCUUUUAAAUCUUGGGUUCUGGGGAUUAUGCCAGGGCUGGUUACACAGCAGGAAAAAGCCAGACCCAUGAUGUCAUUCAACAUAUCUUCUCGCAGAGACUAGAUACACUUGUGAGCUAGAUUUGGACUUUUAUACUUGCUUCAUGGGCAUAGGUGUUCUGUUUUGCUUUGUUUUGUUUUAAGCCUCAAAUUACCCCAUAUCCCAUGGCCCUGGUUUUAGUAAAUGUCCUUGUACUGUUCUGAUGUUUCAGCUUGAGGUUGUCGAUAACAAACAAUAGUAGCUUCAUAAGGAACCAAAGUGCACUGCUGUUGUUUACUGAUUCAUUUUGCAUCUCACAGAAAAUGUAAUGGAUGAUAGUGACAGGCUGCUUUUACCUGCCAUAGCUCCAGAAGAGGAGGACUUUAAUCUCAGCUGUAGAAACUGUUAGUUAGCUCUUCCUGUGGAAGCUCCAGACCCCCACCAUCACUGCCACCCCUCCCCCACCUUCCUCAUCCACCCUUUAGCCCCCCCAAAAUAGGUUGUUAAUGAGAGAGCCUCUCAAUUAGGGGAAUGAAGGAUGCUCUGGUUGAUUUUUUUUUCUGGAAUAAAUUUGAGUUAAUCUAAGAAAAAUGCUUUUUA
RNAcentral lists this long non-coding RNA (874 nucleotides) under Bos mutus (wild yak). RNAcentral's name for it is "lncRNA (ENSBMUG00000003989.1)". Lineage: Eukaryota; Metazoa; Chordata; Mammalia; Artiodactyla; Bovidae. The record is from RNAcentral.